Molecule: long non-coding RNA, 280 nt
Organism: Priapulus caudatus
Lineage: Eukaryota; Metazoa; Priapulida; Priapulimorpha; Priapulimorphida; Priapulidae
Exons: 3
Source: RefSeq, a predicted model, not a curated record
AUAGAGAAGGAUGUGCACACAUCAACAUUAUCUGCACCGUUUCCCUGUCAGUUGUUGUCUGAGCUCGCCGAAAAGUCAAUAUGAAAGCCGUAUCUAUAAUCUGCGGACUCGUUGUCCUAAUGUUGAUGGUUGCCGCCGUCACACCAUCUUAUGGUGGGUAUGGGUAUCGCUCGUACCCCAGCCGCUAUGGAUACGGUCGAAACUAUGGUGGAUACGGCCGCAACUAUGGUGGAUACGGCCGCAACUAUGGUGGAUACGGCCGCAACUAUGGUGGAUACGG